This 408-nucleotide ribosomal RNA is filed under the name uncultured bacterium. Its description in RNAcentral is "partial 16S ribosomal RNA". It matches the Rfam family "Bacterial small subunit ribosomal RNA", at positions 28 to 526 of the family's 1533-position model. The record is from RNAcentral.
GAUGAACGCUGGCGGCGUGCCUAAUACAUGCAAGUCGAGCGAAGCGGCGGAUGGGUGAGUAACGCGUGGGUAACCUGCCUUUCAGUCUGGGAUACCAUUUGGAAACAGAUGCUAAUACCGGAUACUUAAGGAUGGAGCGGGGAUGCAUUAGCUAGUUGGUAAGGUAACGGCUUACCAAGGCGAUGAUGCCUAGCUGGUUUGAGAGAAUGAUCGGCCACACUGGGACUGAGACACGGCCCAGACUCCUACGGGAGGCAGCAGUAGGGAAUCUUCCACAAUGGACGAAAGUCUGAUGGAGCAACGCCGCGUGAGUGAAGAAGGUUUUCGGAUCGUAAAGCUCUUUUGUUGGUGAAGCGGUAAUCAACCAGAAAGUCACGGCUAACUACGUGCCAGCAGCCGCGGUAAUUC